UACGAAGGGGGCGAGCGUUGUUCGGAAUUACUGGGCGUAAAGCGCGUGUAGGCGGGCAGUUAAGUCGGGGGUGAAAGCCCAGAGCUCAACUCUGGAAAUGCCUUCGAUACUGGCGGUCUGGAGCUUGAUAGAGGCGAGUGGAAUUGGGAGUGUAGAGGUGAAAUUCGUAGAUAUUUGCAGGAACACCAGUGGCGAAGGCGACUCGCUAGAUCGUUGCUGACGCUGUGACGCGAAAGCGUGGGGCGCAAACAGG
RNAcentral lists this ribosomal RNA (253 nucleotides) under uncultured bacterium. RNAcentral's name for it is "partial 16S ribosomal RNA". It matches the Rfam family "Bacterial small subunit ribosomal RNA", at positions 524 to 776 of the family's 1533-position model. The record is from RNAcentral.